AUUGAACGCUGGCGGCAGGCCUAACACAUGCAAGUCGAACGGUAACAGGAAGCAGCUUGCUGCUUUGCUGACGAGUGGCGGACGGGUGAGUAAUGUCUGGGAAACUGCCUGAUGGAGGGGGAUAACUACUGGAAACGGUAGCUAAUACCGCAUAAUGUCGCAAGACCAAAGAGGGGGACCUUCGGGCCUCUUGCCAUCGGAUGUGCCCAGAUGGGAUUAGCUAGUAGGUGGGGUAAAGGCUCACCUAGGCGACGAUCCCUAGCUGGUCUGAGAGGAUGACCAGCCGCACUGGAACUGAGACACGGUCCAGACUCCUACGGGAGGCAGCAGUGGGGAAUAUUGCACAAUGGGCGCAAGCCUGAUGCAGCCAUGCCGCGUGUAUGAAGAAGGCCUUCGGGUUGUAAAGUACUUUCAGCGGGGAGGAAGGGAGUAAAGUUAAUACCUUUGCUCAUUGACGUUACCCGCAGAAGAAGCACCGGCUAACUCCGUG
This 490-nucleotide ribosomal RNA is filed under the name uncultured bacterium. RNAcentral describes it as "partial 16S ribosomal RNA". It matches the Rfam family "Bacterial small subunit ribosomal RNA", at positions 30 to 507 of the family's 1533-position model. The record is from RNAcentral.